Molecule: ribosomal RNA, 604 nt
Filed under: Clostridioides difficile
Lineage: Bacteria; Bacillati; Bacillota; Clostridia; Peptostreptococcales; Peptostreptococcaceae
Description: partial 23S ribosomal RNA
Rfam family: Bacterial large subunit ribosomal RNA
Source: RNAcentral
UCUCUCAGUACGGUCGGAAAUCGUACGUAGAGUGUAAAGGCAAAAGAGAGCUUGAUUGCAAGACAUACAGGUCGAGCAAGGAUGAAAAUCGGACUUAGUGAUCCGGUGGUUCUGCGUGGAAGGGCCAUCGCUCAACGGAUAAAAGCUACCCUGGGGAUAACAGGCUUAUCUCCCCCAAGAGUCCACAUCGACGGGGAGGUUUGGCACCUCGAUGUCGGCUCAUCACAUCCUGGGGCUGUAGUAGGUCCCAAGGGUUGGGCUGUUCGCCCAUUAAAGUGGUACGCGAGCUGGGUUCAGAACGUCGUGAGACAGUUCGGUCCCUAUCCGUCGCAGGCGUAGGAAAUUUGAGAAGACCUGUCCUUAGUACGAGAGGACCGGGAUGGACGUACCUCUGGUGUACCAGUUGUCCUGCCAAGGGCAUGGCUGGGUAGCUAUGUACGGAAUGGAUAAGCGCUGAAAGCAUCUAAGCGCGAAGCCAACUUCAAGAUAAGAUUUCCCACCGCAAGGGUAAGACCCCAGAAAGACUAUCUGGUUGAUAGGUCGAAGGUGUAAGUGCAGCAAUGUAUUUAGCUUAUCGAUACUAAUAGGUCGAGGACUUGACCAA